Oncorhynchus mykiss (rainbow trout) is the source of this 2287-nucleotide non-coding RNA. Lineage: Eukaryota; Metazoa; Chordata; Actinopteri; Salmoniformes; Salmonidae. The record is from RefSeq and is a predicted model, not a curated record.
CAGUACAUUGGGUUUUUCACAGUCCAUCAUAAUAAAUACUUUUUGGCAACUUAUGUAUUGUUGUCUAAGGUUCAUUCCGAAACGCAUUCUCUCCACCAAAGCCCAAAGCUUACUAGCAUUAUAAAGAUAUCCAUCAAGUUUAAGAGGUGUCACCACAUUUUUGUAGAGAUGUAUAUGGGGGGCAGUGCAAAGACUCAUAUUGCAGUGUAAGAUCAGUCAUGCAUCGUACCCAGUUUCUCUCUAGAAACAUGAUGAGAAGCUAUGACUUAGCAGAGCAGUAUGGCUGCAUCAAUUGUUCUAGAACUGGUUCAAGAAAGAAGGUUAGGUUAGUUAGGCUACAUGUGAUCGUGCGUCACCAUAACUGAAACAUGGCCUUCUUUCUUUCACGGUUUCACGUCAUGGUGCAAGUAUUUGCAUAAACUGGGAAACAUUUGCAUACAUUUCAAUUUCUCUGGCCGGCAGUGAAGGGGUUAAUCAGCUGUGUGCUCUCAGUAUACGCUCACUAGCAGAAUCUGUCUGCCACAGCUUCUGCGCUUAUCUUCUAUCACAGCGCUGAAAACCAGAGGUGUUUCCAGAGGACAACAACACAGAGCUGGUUAGAGAAGCUUCAAACCAAACCACGUACGCACACACACACACACAGAUCUUGGAGCAGUUGACCUCCACAUUAGCCACUAAUAUCUGACAUCAGUAUAGUUUAUAAAAGUGUAUCUGUUUGUCUCUGUCUUUCAGUUUCUGUUUAGACUACAUCAAAGAUAGAGAAGCUGUGCAGCCACACCAUGUUCAAUCAUGUUACCUAAUUAGCUAGCUAGCUAGCUGACAAUCUGUUUGACCUGUAGCAUAUAAACAUUUGUUGACGCAGAAAGAAAGGGGAUUUAAAAAUGAUUGAUUGAAAUUCCCCCUGCCACAUUCUGACUGGGUUAACAACUUAAUAUUAAGUUAAUAUGGACCCAUUGUCUUAGACUUGAAAUCUUGGACCGGGAUUCAAACACAGGGACUUGUGACUCGACUCAAACAUUGACGACUUUGACUCAAUUCAGAGUUAGCCACAGGGUGUUGUGAAUUGACUCAGACUUAUGCUUUAGUGACUCGACUACAACACUGCUGCCAUGACAUGGCUACUACUACUGCUACAACUAACACUUCAAGUUUUUAUACUACUUCUAUAUUGCAUGAUCUUUAAAAAAAAAUCCAUUCAUUUCCCUGUAAUCUGCUGAGAUUGUGAUAGUUUUCAGGUUUUGGAGGGAGUUUUCACUGGAUUUACUAGAAAUGUGAAAUUGACCUGGCAAACCUGUCUUUGCCUGAGCAUGAUCACAACAAAAGUAGCUGUGCAGCACGUUUUUUAAGGAAGAGGAGGAUGGUUGCAGACGUUCGCAUUCAUGCAAGAAGCCCAACUUGUCUUCCUUUACGCAGGCACUGCAGAGGCUAAGAAGACGCAUGGAAACUCUAUAAGAAACAUAAUUCAACGUGUAGGCCAGAUUUGAAAAGGAAAUAAUAAAUCCUGAAGCUCAGAUGUCAGACACCGAGGCUGCCAGUACCGUAUACGUAAGUUAGUGUCAUUCAACACCAGCACAUACUUUGGAUACAAGACUGAUGACUCAAUAACUAGUAUUGACAACCUUGAAGAUGUUAUGUCCCAGGGCCAUCAGGUUCAUCAGAGGAAGGCAAUUUCUCUGAAAAAAAUCUGACCGGAGAGAUGUCAGCGAUUCGGGCCAAUGACCAAGGGAAAGCUGGGACAAAAGAGAGAAAUGGAUGCUGCGGCCACUGAUUGCGCAUCAGAGAAUGACUCUGAGAAAGAGGAGUCAUCUGAAGAAUCCUAUGAAGAAAAUUUGACCGGAGAAAUGUCAGCGAUUCGGGCCAAACAACCAAUAACCAAGGGAAGACUGGGACAAAAGAGAGGCUCACACGGUGACAAAGGAACAAAAAGGUAUUGGUCAACAAUAGAGGUGGAUGCAGUUGAAGAUUCCUUGAUGAACUUUAUCCGAAUGGGGAAAAAUGCCUGGAAAACGCAUUCAUUGCUGCUUCUCCCCAAGCGCUAGUAAACAGGGACUGGAGAGCAGUACAGUUCUAUGUACACAACAGAAUAGUUGCAGAUCAGAGAAAAUAAGUGUAUGAGAUGCUUCUGGCUCUCUUGGUGUACUUCUGAGGAUUUAAUGGGACUUACUUGACUUAAGCUCAUAGGCAGAUGACGAAUGUCCUCUAUCUCACUGUUCAGGGGAAGUUUUUCCUGGUGGAUGGUUCACUUUUGGAGUGACUAAGGUCUCAAGAAUACAAAGCCUGCUGACUU